GGAAUCUUCCACAAUGGACGAAAGUCUGAUGGAGCAACGCCGCGUGAGCGAAGAAGGUUUUAGGAUCGUAAAACUCUGUUGUUGGAGAAGAACAGGGACUAGAGUAACUGUUAGUCCUUUGACGGUACCAUACCAGAAAGGGACGGCUAAAUACGUGCCAGCAGCCGCGGUAAUACGUAUGUCCCGAGCGUUAUCCGGAUUUAUUGGGCGUAAAGCGAGCGCAGACGGUUGAUUAAGUCUGAUGUGAAAGCCCGGAGCUCAACUCCGGAAUGGCAUUGGAAACUGGUUAACUUGAGUGCAGUAGAGGUAAGUGGAACUCCAUGUGUAGCGGUGGAAUGCGUAGAUAUAUGGAAGAACACCAGUGGCGAAGGCGGCUUACUGGACUGUAACUGACGUUGAGGCUCGAAAGUGUGGGUAGCAAACA
This 424-nucleotide ribosomal RNA is filed under the name uncultured Leuconostoc sp. Its description in RNAcentral is "bacterial SSU rRNA". It matches the Rfam family "Bacterial small subunit ribosomal RNA", at positions 358 to 774 of the family's 1533-position model. The record is from RNAcentral. Lineage: Bacteria; Bacillati; Bacillota; Bacilli; Lactobacillales; Lactobacillaceae.